Molecule: transfer RNA, 58 nt
Filed under: Betaproteobacteria bacterium
Lineage: Bacteria; Pseudomonadati; Pseudomonadota; Betaproteobacteria
Description: tRNA-Arg
Rfam family: tRNA
About the family: Transfer RNA (tRNA) molecules are approximately 80 nucleotides in length. Their secondary structure includes four short double-helical elements and three loops (D, anti-codon, and T loops).
Source: RNAcentral
UAGCUCAUUCGGAUAGAGCACCGGCCUUCUAAGCCGGGGGUAACAGGUUCGAGUCCUG